This is a long non-coding RNA of Dioscorea cayenensis subsp. rotundata (Guinea yam), 420 nucleotides long. RefSeq lists it as uncharacterized. The record is from RefSeq and is a predicted model, not a curated record. The transcript is spliced from 4 exons. Lineage: Eukaryota; Viridiplantae; Streptophyta; Magnoliopsida; Dioscoreales; Dioscoreaceae.
AAACAAAUGAGUUAAUUGUUAGGUGAAUGGACUGGUAUCCUACAUUUAGUUGGGACACCUCACAUAGAGUCAUGAAGAAGACAUUCAUUUAGGUGAGCAAGUCAACUGAUGAAGCUUAUUGUCUUAAUACGGUUCAUCAUCUGAGGCACUACAUGCUGAGGUUAGAGAUUUGCAUCAAACUCUUAGUCAAGUCCAAGAUAGUGAGGAGAGGUUUCAACAGACACUUGGCCAAGUACAAGAUAAUAACAAGGAGCUUCAACAAAAUUUGCUUGAAAUGAAAGAGAGACCACACAGGACUCACAACCAUUUAUUGGCAAUCAUAAUGUUGACUUAUAAUUGUAUUUGUCGUAUACUUAUUAUUUUGUGUUGAACAUAUAUACUUAAACAUUUAUUUUUGUAUGAAUUGAUGAGUUUAUCUUA